Molecule: ribosomal RNA, 254 nt
Filed under: uncultured bacterium
Lineage: Bacteria
Description: partial 16S ribosomal RNA
Rfam family: Bacterial small subunit ribosomal RNA
Source: RNAcentral
UACGGAGGGUGCAAGCGUUUGUCCGGAUUUAUUGGGUUUAAAGGGUGCGUAGGCGGCUCUGUAAGUCAGCGUUGAAAUAUGGCAGCUUAACUGUCAGACUGGCAUUGAUACUGCAGGGCUUGAGUGAAGUCGAGGUUGGCGGAAUUGACGGUGUAGCGGUGAAAUGCAUAGAUAUCGUCAAGAACACCUAUUGCGAAGGCAGCUAACUAGACUUUAACUGACGCUGAGGCACGAAAGCGUGGGGAUCAAACAGG